GUUGGGUAUGGAGAUAUCUACCCGACAACUAUCCAAGGCAGGGUCAUUGCUUCAAUAUGUGCAAUCACUGGGGUGUGUCUUUUUGCUCUUCUGAUACCAGUACUUAUUAAUAAU
This 114-nucleotide small RNA is filed under the name Mytilus galloprovincialis (Mediterranean mussel). Lineage: Eukaryota; Metazoa; Mollusca; Bivalvia; Mytilida; Mytilidae. The record is from RNAcentral.